Molecule: ribosomal RNA, 464 nt
Filed under: uncultured bacterium
Lineage: Bacteria
Description: partial 16S ribosomal RNA
Rfam family: Bacterial small subunit ribosomal RNA
Source: RNAcentral
ACGCACGCUGGCGGCGUGCUUCACACAUGCCAGUCGCACGGAAAGGCCCUGCUUGCAGGGUACUCGAGUGGCGAACGGGUGAGUAACACGUGGGUGAUCUGCCCUGCACUUCGGGAUAAGCCUGGGAAACUGGGUCUAAUACCGGAUAGGAGCCAUUUUUAGUGUGAUGGUUGGAAAGUUUUUUCGGUGUAGGAUGAGCUCGCGGCCUAUCAGCUUGUUGGUGGGGUAAUGGCCUACCAAGGCGGCGACGGGUAGCCGGCCUGAGAGGGUGGACGGCCACAUUGGGACUGAGAUACGGCCCAGACUCCUACGGGAGGCAGCAGUGGGGAAUAUUGCACAAUGGGCGCAAGCCUGAUGCAGCGACGCCGCGUGGGGGAUGACGGCCUUCGGGUUGUAAACUCCUUUCGCUAGGGACGAAGCUUUUUGUGACGGUACCUAGAUAAGAAGCACCGGCUAACUACGUG